UUGUUUCAGGAACACAGUCAUCCCUCAGAAAUGGAUUGGGUGACAAGUGGUCUGCAUGCUGCACACGGGCACUGGUGUGAGGCAUGCCCUAGACCCGAGGAAUAUAAAGGGGACUGGGAGAAAGCCCGGCCUCCCUGGAGCUCUUCACGUGAUGACAGGCGCAGAUCAGCGGACAGGCGCGUAACAGGAGGUGCUAAGUGCGCAGGUGGGGUCACGUGCCGCGUCACAGCAGUGCUGGAGGAGAGUCCUGACUCAUGGCCUGGGAUGCUGGGGUUCCUCCCCAGAGAAGCUCUUUUGGACCUGGGAGAAGGAGUAGGACUUUGAUACACCAUGGAGGUCUCUGAAUGUAACCAAAUUGUUCUCCUCUUAUCAUUCCCAUUCACUGGUGUACUUGUUUGUGGAGCCUGCAGAACUGCCUUUUUCAAGAAUGGCAGCUUGGCCUCUAAAUCUGCUUCCCACUGAUGGGAAGAGCUGACAGAAGCUUUAGAGAGGCACAGGGUGAGUUCCUAAAACCAGAGUCAACACACACUCUUCAUCUGUUUUGUGCUUCACUCCCUGCUCAUCUUCCUAAAACACUGAGUUUGGUCAUAUCAUGUCCUACAAGUUGUCAAUGAUUUCCCAUGAUCUUGUCUUCAGGAUAAAGUUCCUUAGUCAAAAGCAAUGAAGACCUGACCUAAUCUGUAAGGCAAAAUCAACACUUUUUAGCCUGGCCUUCCAUGCCCUUCCAUGCCCUUCGAGCCCCCAGAGCACCCAUGGCAGUCCAUCUCUCUCUACUUGUCCAGAGGGACACUCUCUUAGAGCCAGUGGCUCCUACUCACGGUUCCCCGAACACGUCGUGGGAAUGUUUGCCUUCAUACCUUCCCAGAUCAUUUUCCUGAUCUCAGACACCCUCCGUCCUCAUUCAUUCACUCUUCAAUUGUCCAACAAAUAUUUGUUGCUCAUGCAACCUGGAUCACCCACAUAGUUUCAAGACUGCAUCUUCUAAACUAUUUAAAUCCUAUCCAUUCUUCAAGAAAUGUUUCAUGACGCUUCCUUAACUGCUAAGGACCCGCAGAUUCUCUUCCUCUUGGGACUCACACACUGACUCAUCUCCCGAUCUUUUGGUGCUCAGCAAAGUGGAGGCUUCUGUUUUGGACUUAGAGUCAAGACCAUUAAAUAAGACUAUGCUCUAAAAAGUACACCUCCGUGGCCCGGAACGAGUGAAUUAACAUCUAUGAGUUUCCAUUUCCUUGUCUAUAAAAUUGUGAAAUUGCAACUUAAGAUUAGUUCUGAAGAUUAAAUGAGGUAACAUAGGUGAAAAUGCUACAUUUAUGUAAGAAAUUACUCUUUCAUAAGGAUGUCAAUGUUUAAAUACGCAUUUUCUCAAUUUUGUUAAUGAAAUACUUUGAAAUUCUUUUUUCUAAUGAAACCUGCUGAAUGUAAAAGAGACCCGUACUAAAGAAAGAUACCACAUGAAGCACCAAGGGUCUCUUUCUGGAUCUAUCAUGACUCUUGUGACUGUUUCAGCAGCACAGAAAUUAAAGGCGAUUGUUAUUCUGGAGGAAGACAAUGAGUCUCAUCUAUAUCUUGUUUGGGUUGAUUUUGUAAACAGAACAUUCCAAAGAUCAUUCUUGCCUUUUGUUUCCACUGAGAACUAGAAUAAAGUAAAACAAACUAUCAAUUUAAGGAAAGCCUCGAAAUUGUUAGCAAUUUCUUCAGUAACUUUCAUCCAUCAACUGAUUUUAUGAACACAAAUUUGCAGAAAUGGGCAAGAAAAACUACUUAACUCAUUGGUGGGAAGCAGUGGGCUCUCUAAGGAGGGAGAGAUAGCAGUGAUUUCACCACCGGACCGUGGAACACAAAGAGCCUGGAAGAGUCUAUCACUUUCAACUGAAACCGCAAGAAGAACUAAGUAGGUUAAGCCCUAAGAAUGUUCCUAGGUAACCUACUUGAGUUGAAAUUUGACUAAGAAUCCUUACACCCUACCUAAGAGAGGUAACGCUAUUAGGAUCGGAAGUGAUUGGAAGCUUUGUUUCAGAUCUCGUCCAAAAGGGAGAACGGUCAAUGACAAAGCUGCUGUGAAUAGUAUUCUGGGGGCGUGGUGGAACCCCGAUUCACUGCUAUCUCCCGAAUCAGCAACUUGACAGAGCGCGCCUCCCGGGCCUUGGAAGCCUUCCAUUCCGAGCUGGCUGGGUGGGACUCAGGUUUUACGGUAUGCUGGACUUUUUCCCCGUGAGUUAAAACACAUUUAUAGUAACUAAGUGGUUAAUGAUGAGAAAAAACCCCAAACUACUGUACUAAUAAUCAACCUCUGCUAUU
RNAcentral lists this long non-coding RNA (2298 nucleotides) under Homo sapiens (human). RNAcentral's name for it is "PACRG antisense RNA 3". The record is from RNAcentral. Lineage: Eukaryota; Metazoa; Chordata; Mammalia; Primates; Hominidae.